Molecule: long non-coding RNA, 1005 nt
Organism: Ricinus communis (castor bean)
Lineage: Eukaryota; Viridiplantae; Streptophyta; Magnoliopsida; Malpighiales; Euphorbiaceae
Exons: 2
Source: RefSeq, a predicted model, not a curated record
AUAUGGUCUUUUAUAAUUUAAAAGUGUGUGUUUUAGUUCUAAGUAUAUUUUUUUAAAUAUUUUCAGUAAUUAAUUAAGUUUUAUUUUUUUUCAAUAUAAUAUUCAUUAUUCUAUUUUUAGGCUGAAAUAAAGUGUACGUGUUUUAUUAAUAAUAUUAUAUAUAAAGAAUUAUAUACUGGAAAAUAACCUAUAGAGAUUGCAUGGUCUUUUAAAUAAAUGUUUAAAUAAUAAUAAUUGACCAAAUACAUUAAAAGUGAUAUAAGACUAGCCUAUCCAUAUUUGCCACCUGUCGUUUAAUCUUUUUUCUGAAGAAAGGGAAGGGGUCUCUUUAGUUUAGAUUCCAAAAUUGGAUUCAAAAUUUUUGGUGAUCCAUGGCUGACUUCAUGAAGCAAAUGUUGUCCAGACCAGUCCAAGUAGCAGAUAAGGUGACUGAUAUUGCAGAAAGUGCUCUGAGCUCACCUCCCAAACUGAGAAGCUUGCAGCACUCUUCGGCCCAGAUGGUAACUCCAAGCAAGCAAGCUCUGUAUUCAGAUCAUCCGUGAGACUGACAGACAGACCGAGGAAGGAAGUUCUUAACAGGAGGAUCCUUUCUCUUCUUUUCAAAUGCUGCAGUGAUGGCCUCAGGAACUCUGUCUCACCUGAAAAUCCCUGCUUCUGACUUCAGUAAAUUUAUUUUCAGUUGGAAAAUGCUUUUGUGGAUUUGACUCAGAUUUAGCUGGUGUUGAUCAUGAAGAAGGGUAGCAUCAUUCAUCCUCAAAAGAAGAAGAAGAGCAUCUCCCUCUUGAGGCCUACAAAGAACCUACACUUUGGGCACCAUGGCAACUUGCUGAAGAUGGAAAUAUUGCUUACAAUUACUUAUUGUUCUGUUUUCUCCUUAUUGUUUUCUUAUAGUUGUAAUGGCUGUUCUUUUCUUCUUCAAUUAUUGUCCUUUUUUUAUCCUCUCGUAAUAUUUCAUUCUGGUGAGUAUCAAAGAGAAAAAGCAAUCAAUUAUGAUAAGUUUAGAUC